RNAcentral lists this non-coding RNA (28 nucleotides) under Homo sapiens (human). The record is from RNAcentral. Lineage: Eukaryota; Metazoa; Chordata; Mammalia; Primates; Hominidae.
UGGACAACCAGACGCUGGGCGUGUGCCA